This 1452-nucleotide long non-coding RNA is filed under the name Homo sapiens (human). RNAcentral's name for it is "HSALNT0381728". The record is from RNAcentral. Lineage: Eukaryota; Metazoa; Chordata; Mammalia; Primates; Hominidae.
ACUGCUGAGACGCAUAAAGAAAUCUUAGCUGGAAUGCCUUCUCAGAAUCUUGAUUUUCAAAGUGAUGGAUUGGGAGAUCCCAAGCCAUGAAUAAAGGGUGCUCAUCACAGAUGGAACAAUGGCGAGAGCACACCUGGACAGGGGAGGGGCAGGAGUUCUGAUUCCUGACACAGGUUUCCUGGUUGAAUGUUCUGUUGUAGAAGAAUGCAACUGAGUUUUCUAAACAGAUCUUCUUCUUGACAUCCUUGCUGAACGGUCUCAUUUUGUCACCCAGGCUGGAGUGCACUGGCACAAUCUCUGCUCUCUGCAGCCUCAAUCUCCCAGGCUCAAGUGAUCCUCCCACCUCAGCCUCCCAAGAGAGCAAAGGAGACAGCUGGGAGCAGAUGGGCAAAUCCCAGUUUGCCCAAAGAAAUGUCUAUUUUCCAAGGGGCAUGAAGAAUUUAGGAAUAAAGCAGAUCUGAUUUCUAAUUCUGACUUUGCUACUGGCAAAUUGUGUGGACUCAGGAAAGUGACCGGCCCUCUUUAAGACUCAGUGUGCUUACCUCUGAAAUGGAGCUGUCAAUCACAUCUGCCUCACAGGCUUGUUCUGAGGAUGAAGUGAGAAAAUGCCCACGAGGUGCUGGUUGCAGCAGCUGGUGCAUAGAGCUUAAAAAGGAUGCAGUCCCAAAACAUAGAAGGAUUUACUCCAGAUCCAAGCAAUGAGUCAGGAACAGAAAGCCUGAUGCCCUCACCUGGAACUCUCCCUCCUCCCUGGAUGAGGACCUUCCCCAGAAUUGCAGGGCACCCACACAAGACCAAGCAAGUUCAGAGAAAAUUGAAACCUGACUUUAGAGCCUCUGGGAUGUUCACUACACCUCAUUGAACCUGUUUGGUUCACAGAGCUCCAACUACCGUCUACUUCCUGCAACUGGCCUGCUGCCAACUCCCCAGAUCUCUUGUGGAGCUGCCGGAAGAGACAGCCUGCCACAGAAGAAAGCAGCCCUCCUCUUUCAUGGCCUCCCACAUCUUGAAACAAACACAAGCAAACAAAACAAAAGCUUGAGUCCCAGCCUGAUUCACCAGGUUUGGUUCCCAAUUGUUGAAAUUCCCUUCCCAGGGCUCUCAGAACCAGGGUUGGCUGGAGGGGUGAAAGAGGCUGGCCCUGAGCCCAGUAAUAGGACACCAAGGGGGAGCUAAAAGCUGGGAUCUGGGGUGAAGAUGGGGUCUUCCAAGCUGGGAGGCAGACACCAGGCCAGAGCAACCGGCCUGCCCCAGCUCAGGCCUCUUAACCCAUGCAGGGCAAGAGUAUAAACAGAGGCCACGGACCACAUGCCUCAGUAUUUAAACUUAUAAAUCAAGCUAACAUAACAUGAAAUCAAAUAUGUUCUAUCCUCCUAGCUUGACAAAUACUUUCAUAACGAGAUGGAAUGCCAGGUUCAGAUUUAGAAUUUUCACACUCCUUAAAGUUCCAAG